Molecule: ribosomal RNA, 468 nt
Filed under: uncultured bacterium
Lineage: Bacteria
Description: partial 16S ribosomal RNA
Rfam family: Bacterial small subunit ribosomal RNA
Source: RNAcentral
GAUGAACGCUGGCGGCGUGCUUAACACAUGCAAGUCGAGCGAUUUUCUUCGGAAGAGAGCGGCGGACGGGUGAGUAACGCGUGGGUAACCUGCCUCAUACAUAUGGAUAACAUACCGAAAGGUAUGCUAAUACAAGAUGAUAUAAGAGAUUCGCAUGGAUUUCUUAUCAAAGCUCCGGCGGUAUGAGAUGGACCCGCGUCUGAUUAGCUAGUUGGUAAGGUAACGGCUUACCAAGGCGACGAUCAGUAGCCGACCUGAGAGGGUGAUCGGCCACAUUGGAACUGAGACACGGUCCAAACUCCUACGGGAGGCAGCAGUGGGGAAUAUUGCACAAUGGGCGAAAGCCUGAUGCAGCAGCGCCGCGUGGGCGAUGAAGGCCUUCGGGUCGUAAAGCUCUGUCCUCAAGGAAGAUAAUGACGGUACUUGAGGAGGAAGCCCCGGCUAACUACGUGCCAGCCGCCGCUGUAA